Brachypodium distachyon (stiff brome) is the source of this 135-nucleotide non-coding RNA. NCBI's taxonomy places the organism in Eukaryota, Viridiplantae, Streptophyta, Magnoliopsida, Poales, Poaceae. The record is from Rfam.
AAUCUACUUCAUUCGUCCAACAAAAGAUAUCUCAAGUUUGUAAAAAUUUGGAUGUAUCUAGCAUGACUUAACGUAUAGAUGUAUCCAAAUUUAGUCAAAGUUGAGACAUCCUUUAUUGAACGAAUGAAAUAUAUU